CAGUAGCCGCGGUAACACGUAGGGUGCGAGCGUUAAUCGGAAUUACUGGGCGUAAAGCGUGCGCAGGCGGUUGUGUAAGACAGGUGUGAAAUCCCCGGGCUUAACCUGGGAACUGCGCUUGUGACUGCACAGCUAGAGUAUGGCAGAGGGGGGUGGAAUUCCACGUGUAGCAGUGAAAUGCGUAGAGAUGUGGAGGAACACCGAUGGCGAAGGCAGCCCCCUGGGCCAAUACUGACGCUCAUGCACGAAAGCGUGGGGAGCGAACAGGAUUAGAUACCCGAGUAGUCCCUGUCUCUUAUAC
Molecule: ribosomal RNA, 301 nt
Filed under: uncultured bacterium
Lineage: Bacteria
Description: partial 16S ribosomal RNA
Rfam family: Bacterial small subunit ribosomal RNA
Source: RNAcentral